GGUAAAAAAGCUCGUAGUUGGAUUUCUGUUGAGGGCGACCGGUCCUGUCAACGACAGCGUAUCUGGCGCGCGCUCGGCAUCCUCUCGAUAGACGUUUCUGCGCUUGAUUGCGUGGAGCGGAUCUCGGGACUUUUACUUUGAGGAAAUUAGAGUGUUCACGGCAGGCUAUCGCCAGAAUACAUUAGCAUGGAAUAAUACUAUAGGAUCUUGGUUCUAUUUUGUUGGUUUCUAGAAUUGAGAUAAUGAUUAAUAGGGACAAUUGGGGGCAUUCGUAUCAACACGUCAGAGGUGGAAUUCUUGGAUUGUGUUGCGACGAACUACUGCGAAAGCAUUUGCCAAGGAUGUUUUCAUUGAUCAAGAACGAAAGUAAGGGGAUCGAAGACGAUUAGAUACCGUCGUAGUCUUUACCAUAAACUAUGCCAACUAGAGAUUGGGUCUCGUUCACUUACGACUGACUCAGCACCUUAUGAGAUAUCAAAGUCUUUGGGUUCCGGGGGGAGUAUGGUCGCAAGGCUGAAACUUAAAGGAAUUGACGGAAGGGCACCACCAGGAGUGGAGCCUGCGGCUUAAUUUGACUCAACAC
RNAcentral lists this ribosomal RNA (583 nucleotides) under uncultured marine eukaryote. RNAcentral describes it as "SSU rRNA". It matches the Rfam family "Eukaryotic small subunit ribosomal RNA", at positions 617 to 1206 of the family's 1831-position model. The record is from RNAcentral.